AAUAUGAAGAUUACAUUCCAUAAAUAUUUUAUUUUUUCCCGACUGACCAUCUUCCUUUGCCGCCGCCGAAGAGCUCCGAUCACUGCCAAGUUUCCCGAUGAGAGUCAUCCAAAACCAACAGUCGUCUCAAACACCAGCAGCUAAUAUGGCUAGAUCUUCCUCUUCAUCUUCGUGAAUUAGCUAAGUCCUAAACAUAUAAUAGGAAAUAAGGCAAAUAGAAGAAAAGAAAUCAUUCCGUUUACAAAAAAAAAAGAAAAAAAGAAAGAAAGAAAUCAUUCAUCUUCUUCUGGUUGUGGAUCUCUUGGAGGGAUUGGAAACAAAACAAAUAGAUCAAUGGCUCUAAGUAUACAUAUGUUUUGAACAUUUAUAUCACUCUGAAUGUGAAUUCUUAUAUUUUUGAUACCAAAAAAAAUGUGAAUUCUUACUUUCUUCUUACAACAAGGCAUUCAACCCAUUAAUCUACUCAAAUAAUCAUGU
Molecule: long non-coding RNA, 477 nt
Filed under: Arabidopsis lyrata
Lineage: Eukaryota; Viridiplantae; Streptophyta; Magnoliopsida; Brassicales; Brassicaceae
Description: long non-coding RNA (ALYR_LNC000401)
Source: RNAcentral